CUCAUCGCGAUUCUUGGAAAGUAUCUUGCAAACGUGUUAAGGGAGAGCGAAAUUGAAAAGGGAAUAAUCCUUUAAGAUUCACACUCAUCUCACGAGAUUGCCCCGCAUUCAUAACAAAUCAGAUGAGCCAGUAACUCUAUCAACAGGAAAAGGGAACUAAAAAAAGAGAAAGGAAAAGAAAAGAACAAAAACAAGAGUAUUGACCAUUAUCGCGAGGUUCAUCCUAUAGAUGCAGACUAACUAAGCUGGAGGAUAUGAACACCUCCGCAAAAGCUUUCAGACUGGGCUGGGCAGCGGCGAGUGCUCAGAAGGCCGCGUACUUGAUGACCCUCCAGGCACGCUGUAACGGAAGGGCGAAGUGGUCGAGGUGCAAAAAGGGUCGGCAGAAGGUUAAUGAAAUGAUGUAUUUUAUUUUUAAACGGGACCAAUACUGACAAAAUUGUUAUUAUGACCAACCUUGCUUUCGAAACCCCGCUGAGACGACUUCCUGUUUGCGUUUCGAAACUUCUAUUUUUGGUUUGGAACGAAAGCAAAGGUUUGACUUGGGAAACUUUCAAGAUAGGCUUGGCAGUUGUCCACGGAUCAAGAUAUGAUAUAUGUCGUUCACAGUUUUUGUAGUCGAUUGUUGUAUCAGAUAAAAGAGAAGGAUAAUGAUUGCUUUGUGACUGACCUCAACAAAGAAACGGAAGUUCUUCCGAAAUCCUUACGAAAGUCAACCAUGAAACUUUUAAGAUAGGCUUGGCAAUUGUCCACGGGUCAAGAUAUGAUAUAUAUAUUGUUCACAGUUUUUGUUGUCGAUUGUUGUAUCAGAUAAAAGAGAAGGAUUAGAAUUACUUUGUGACUGGCUUUGACAAAGAAACGGAAGUUUCUCCAGAAUCCAAGUCAAUCAUCGAGCUUAAUUUUUGAUUGAAACUGACGAAACCUUUGGAAUAUUUAGAGAAUAUAUCAUAGGCUGAGGUUUUCGUGAGAACACAUUUCAUUUUGUCACUGGAAAAUAAAAUCACAUCACUUUUCAGUUUUUAUAAACGUCAAUUUAUCUUCCCUUAGUUGGCUGAUUUUCGGAUGUAGAUAGCAGACAUUUGGAAGUAGUCUUCGCCCAAGUAAAUACAGACCGCUCUUGUGAGUCGAAUAAUGAAGUUCAUUCAAAGCUGCCCACCCAUUCUCACCAUUUAUACCGUGUCACUGUCAGCUGCAGAUUUAGUCCGACAGUCGACUGACGGAAUCCCUUGAUCAUUAAAGUAAAUGAACCACAAAAGGAAACACAUUUCGUGAACGUUUAAGUAGUUAGUUCGGCUUUGCAGGAAGACCAAGACUUAACCUAAAGUUAUUCCCACACACCGAAAGGAAAUUGGAAUUGGAAUGUCUCGUUAGUGGUCUGUGGAAGAUCGUGGGAAGUCAUCACCUUGAGUGGCUCUCUCGUCCGUCUAAUGAACUUCCAACAGAUGUAAUGCAAAUCAUGUCGCAUAAUAAGGCGAACCGGUAGUUGGCGGCUUUUCGCGGUAUUGGUCUCUGUUUUGGCGAUGGCAAAAAAUAUCUGAAACAAUUAUUAUCCUUUCAAGUGCUUGAUAGACGUGGGUGAGAUUUAAAAGUGGUGGGUGAGGCUAUAAGUAUUGCCUUAAAUGCAUGGGAGAAAGUCUGUUCAAGCUCAUAAGCGGGUCAUGAGACCAAUGUGGAAUGUUGGAAGUUCCUAGCAGACUUAUCAGCCUUGACUUCUGACCUAGAAGAAAUAAAAUACAGCAACAGAUUGUGUCACAUUCAUAAUCGAAGGAUGAUAUCACCUGAAAUAUAAUCUAUAACUUUUUUUAAGUGGGUGAAGUGAAGGUAUGUUGGGGUGAAACCAAAUCAUACAGUCUGGUAACCUCGUGGGUUGCACUGUCACUGGAAUAUCAUCUGUACCUAAGCAGUUCAUUUAUAACAUGUGGGUUGCGGCGACUGAUAUUGGGCUGGGCGGCUGAAUUUCCCUACUGGCACAAUGUAU
Molecule: long non-coding RNA, 1978 nt
Organism: Stylophora pistillata
Lineage: Eukaryota; Metazoa; Cnidaria; Anthozoa; Scleractinia; Pocilloporidae
Source: RefSeq, a predicted model, not a curated record